Molecule: long non-coding RNA, 1726 nt
Organism: Zeugodacus cucurbitae (melon fly)
Lineage: Eukaryota; Metazoa; Arthropoda; Insecta; Diptera; Tephritidae
Exons: 4
Source: RefSeq, a predicted model, not a curated record
AUGGGGUGCCUUUAUGUAACAUAAUAAGCUGACGAUGUACACUGAAAAAAAACCCGCAGUUAAAUCAAAUACUUUUUGCAGUUAAAGUACAGUAAAACAAAAGUAUUUGUUUCAACAGCAAAACUCUUGACGGAAAUACUUUGCUCUUGAUUCAAAUACUUUUUUUAAAUGCGGCACUUUUGAAUUAAAAGCGGCUGUGCUUUUAAAAAUCAUCUUAUUAAAAUCUAAAAAAAAAUAGUUGUUUUAAAGGUUUCGUAUUUAAUUUUCUUUGAUUACAGUUUUUUAAAUGUAAAAGUAUUUGUCACAACCAUUUCGCAUUUAAUUUUACUGUUUCUCCAUACGAUGACAGAGAAGUUGACGCUUACAUUUUUCCAUCGAUCAUUCUAACAGAAACACGUGUUGCGUGCGCAAACACUUUAAUUUGGGUUUUAUAGUGAAGCUGCGCAAAAGGAGCUUAUAUAGUUUGCAUUUGCAUUAGUGUGCCUGCCGCAUCGCCCGCUGCUUACGGAGGCUGUUUAAAAGGGACUUCCACAGAUUUUUUUUAUAUAAAAGACGACAUUUGCGAAAAGUCUACUCUGCAGGUAUGUUAUGGUUUAUAUACACAUUUAUUUCAACAAAAAUAUGUGUUUAAAAACAAUUUUUGUGCAUUUUAGUUUACACUAUGAGUAAGGAGUUGAUACCAUCAACUGCGCUGUCGUUAUUUGCCGAGCAAUGUCCGUUGGGAGAUGAGUCCCCUACAACGGAAAAUGUCGACAAUGAGUCCGUAGUAAUUUUGGAUAGUGAUGAACAGUUAAUUAAUUUAUUGUGUUCGUGGGAUUUGUCGUCAAAUGCAUUGAUACAGUUCAGUAGAUGUGGUUUAAAGAGUGUAGAAAUUUUGCAGAUGAUCCAUUCCCAUGACAUUGACGAAAUUUUUAAUGCCAGAGAACUAAUUGCGGACAAAAUUAAGUUCCGGUACAACUUGCAAAAAUGGUGUUUAGAAAAUAAUUUCGAUAUGCUCACGUGCUGUAGUGGUGAUAGAACUAUAUAGUAUUACGACGCCAUGCUUGGAGCACUUGUUGCAGAUUGCAGGCAUUAUUAUCUUAUAAACUUACUACAUGCAGUAAUAACACUGCCGAGAGUAAAUAAAAACAUAAAGCCCUCCAUUACAGAUGCACAAAUGGAUAUGAUGGUGCAUCUUAUAAAUAUUAAUAACUUCCAGCAAAAACUUGACGAGCUAAAUGAAAGCGCUCACAACGAGGGAUUAACACUGCAACCUAGAGUUUUUGUUGUUGGUGAGAGUCCUCAAAACUUGAAGGAAUUCUAUGUCUGUGUUGACAACAUUAAAUAUAAAGUAGGUAGCUUAAUUAGGGCUAUAGAUUUAGUUGUAAAAAUGUCUUUUGUAUUCAACAUUGAUUAUUCCGUAAAGAGCAAAUGUGUGUGGAUUUUCCUUCAACGAUAUAUUUAUGAUAUUUCCUCUAAGGAAAAAUUUCCCAAAAUUGAAAAUAUUUUAAACAAGCUAAAUAAUGUUCAAUAAAAAUGCACUUGAAGAAAGACCCACACAUACUUGCUCUAUAUGCGGAAAUGAAUUUAUAUUAUUUGAAAAUCUUUUUAACCAUCUUAAGAUUUUACAUCGAACUCCAAUUACUUUUAAGUAUUCAUGCCUUUAUCAGAAAUGAAAUAGAUAUUUUCAAAACUUGUAUAAGUUUCGAAAUCACGCAAGCAAGCAUGAUUUUAAUAGUAAUCUUAA